This 2434-nucleotide long non-coding RNA is filed under the name Sus scrofa (pig). RNAcentral's name for it is "lncRNA (ENSSSCG00055022476.1)". The record is from RNAcentral. Lineage: Eukaryota; Metazoa; Chordata; Mammalia; Artiodactyla; Suidae.
GGGGCGGUCUCAGCAGCCGGCUGUGAUGAGAAGCGGGCAGUCAGGCUGCAUGGAGGGAAUCUGGGCGGCUGGCCAUUGUCUGUGAAGGGGCAGCCUGACAGCAGCUGGAGGACGUGCACCCGGAGCAGACGCUCCCCGGGGGCCGGAUCAGGAGCAGCUCCCACGCUCCACCUGCCGCAGAGAGGCUGGCAAAACUCUGGGGCUUCCUCUCUCCUGCAGAGAGAGCACCGGCAGGUUCAGAGUCUGGCCACCCUCUCUCGGGCCCCGCCGAGAUCUGGGGAGAGCCGGGGGCCUCAAGCGGAUGUGUCCUGAGAGAUUGUCCUCAAGCCCUUGGAUGGAGGUUUCAGCCAAACUCCCCACCAGUGGUGGGUCAGCGACGGCAGGUCAGCCCAGGUCCUUACUUGCAGAAGGAAGGCAGCCAUUCAGGCUGCUGUAGGAACCAGCAGGUGGGAGGGUGGUGACGGAGACCAGCUGGAUCCUGAGGCCAGCUCAUCACUCCCCAAGGAUGCAGCCUUUGGGGGGAUGGUUUGUGCCCUCCCCUGUAAAAUGGGCAUAGAUCAGGGAGUAUGUAGACAUGAAGGGGGCUGAUACUGGCACAUAGCAAACGCUCGCUGCCUGGAGGACAGACCCCCGGUCUCAAAGCUUGUUCCAUGACCGAGUUAGAGGAAGAAGGAAUCCUUUGCAGCCCAGCACUGUGUCCUCUGAUAAGCCUGGUCCCCUGGGCGUUGAGAAGACACGGGGUGGAGCGAAGGGAAAAGGUUAGACCCAGCUGGAGGACACGGUCAUGGAGCCGUGAGAGGAGUGCUAAGAAGACAAUUCCUUUGAAAAUGGGAGCAUGCUAUUGUGGUAUGAAUAGUGUUUGACUCUAGGAGUUCCUGUCAUGGCGCAGCGGAAAUGAAUCCAACUAGGAACCAUGAGGUUGCAGGUGCAAUCCCUGGCCUCGCUCAGUGGGUUAAGGAUCUGGCAUUGCUGUGAGCUGUGGUGUAAGUCACAGACUUGGCUCAGAUCCUGAGUUCCUGGGGCUGUGGGGUAGGCUGGCGGCUGCAGCUCCGAUUUGACCCUAGCCUGGGAACCUCCAUAUGCCGUAGGUGUGGCCCUAAAAAGACCAAAAGACAAAAAAAAAAAAAAGAAAAGUGUUUGACUCUCCACUUAGGAAUCUUGAAUAAUGGGUUUUCUUAGACAUACAUCGCACAAGAACCUACAAAUUUCAGCAGGGAGGUAAAUCUGAGCAUGAGGAGAUUCAGCCUCAAACCUUCCCAGCUACAAAGCUUCCUCUUGAAACAUAAGCUUUUUCCUCCAGCUCAUUUCAUGCUGGUUUUCCAAGUGGGGACAGGCAUGGGUACCCCAUAGCAGAGCUGACCCGAGGUAGAUGGCUGGUGGACAGUGAGGAAGAAUGCCACGGGGCAGCCAAGAAGACUGUGUCAUCCUGCCAUGGGACUUGUGGUGUAACCGGGCACACGGGCCUGUCAACAAGAACGCGGGCCAUGAAAUUUCACCGGAGGCUCUUGCCGAGAAAUGAAGAAGGGACAGCAGAGGGCUUAUGAGUUAGAUGGACAGGCAUCUGGACAAUCCAUGUCACCACAACCAAGAAAAAUGCUUUGCUUAAUUUGAGGACACCCUAAAAGGCCAAAACAUGGAACAAAACUAUCUCUGGUAGCCCCCAAAUUCGCGCAGGUGUGCCGCUGAGUGUGCUUUACGGCGCUGUUAUUCAUUUUUUAAAAACGGGGAAAGAAAGACCCUGUGACUGUCUUCCUAGGUGUGAAGCGCGAGGACUGGCACUGGUCCCCAGUCCACAUUUCAGAGAACGGCCACUGGCUCUGUCCCACCAGCCACCCGGCCUGACAGCGCAUCCUCCAGCCGAUACUGUUAUAGAAGGACUCCCCUUCUCAUCUUCAUUUAACACCGUGCAAGAUAGACAUCCUUGUCCUUUGCUAAAUUGAAGGGAAGAAAACCUUUUCUUGGCUUACAUCCUUUCAGUAACUUUCUACUGAGCACCUACUGCCUGCCAGACGAUAAAGCAAGAAAUAACACACGGCUUUACCUUCAGAAACCUCACAAUAUUGCGGGGGAAUAAAAAAAAAAAAGAAAUUAUGUCAAGACGAUAGUGAGCCAGGUUUUCAGUGUUGACAGGGAAGGGGGCUCCUAACCAGCGGCCACGGAGGGGGACCAACAGGGGCACGACGUCUUGGGAAAGUCUCCUUGAAGGAGCCGAUGCCUUCGAGUCUCUUUCAUCGCCGGCGAAGGGGAUCUAUUUGAGCAAAGUUAGGAAUUCACACAACCCUGCCACGCAUCAGAGCAGGAGGAAAACAUUUCCAAUUAUCUCUCCUGCUUAAGCACCCCAUGCUGUUACACCUGGGGUCCUCAGGACUUAUUUUAAUAAACCCUUUUCCAUUUUGAACAUGCACUCGAUGAAAGUUAAUUAAAAGGGUGUAAA